GGGGAAAAAUUAAUUAAAUAAAAUUAAUAAAAAAAAUUUUUAAGUUAAAAAUAAAUAAUGGGGGUUAAAGUAUUUUUAAUAGAAAAAAUUUUAAAUUUUAUAGGGAAGUAAGUAUUGUAGGGGAAAUUUGAAAUAAAUUAAAUAUUAAUUAUAAAAAAAGAAAAUUUAAUUUAUUGUAUCUUGUGUAUCAGAGUUUAUUAAAUAAUUUUUUUUUAUAAAAAAAUCUCGAAUUUAAAAGAACUAAUUAAUUAUGAAAGUUAAUGUAACAUAAUUAUUUUAAAUAAUUAAUUGGAAAUGAAAUGUUAAUCGUUUUUAAAUAUAUCUAGUUAUUUUAGAAAAAAAUUUAAUUUUAAAUUUAAAUAAUUUUGUAAUUUAAUAAUUAUAAUUAUAAAAAUUUAAAUUUAAUAUUUUAAGGGAUAAGCUUUAAAUUAAAAAUUUAUAAUAAAAUUAAAUAUAAAUUAAAAUUUUUAAAAUUUAUAUUGUUUAAAAAUUAUAAUUUAUUAUAAAAAAUUUUAUUAAAAAUAAAAUUUUAUAAAAAAAAAAUUUAAAUUUUUAUAAAAUAAUAAUUUUUAAUAAAUUAAAAUUAGUAAUAAUGAUAAAAUUAGUAUAAAAUGAUAAAAAAGAAUAAAUUUAAAUUGAAGUUAAUUAAAAGGAAUUCGGCAAAAAAAAUAUUCACUUGUUUAUCAAAAACAUGUCUUUUUGUUUAUAAUUUAAAGUCUAAUCUGCCCACUGAUAAAUAUUAAAGGGCUGCAGUAUAUUGACUGUACAAAGGUAGCAUAAUCAUUAGUUUUUUAAUUGAAAACUUGUAUGAAAGAUUUGAUGAAAUAUAAACUGUCUCUUAAUUAGUAUUAAAAAUUUAUUUUUUAGUUAAAAAGCUAAAAUAAUUUUAAAAGACGAGAAGACCCUAUAGAGUUUUAUAUUUUAUUUAAUAUUAAAGUUUUAUAAAAAUUAAAAUUAAUAUUGAUUAAAAUAUUGUAUUGGGGUGAUAGAAAAAUUAAAGUAACUUUUUUUAAAAAUUAACCAUAAAUAAAUGAAUAAAUGAUCCAUUUAUAGUGAUUACAAGAAAAAAUUACCUUAGGGAUAACAGCGUAAUAUUUUUUUUUAGUCCGAAUAAAAAAAAAAGUUUGCGACCUCGAUGUUGGAUUAAGAUAAAAUUUAAAUGCAAGUGUUUAAAAUUUUGAUCUGUUCGAUCAUUAAAAUCUUACAUGAUCUGAGUUCAAACCGGUGUAAGCCAGGUUGGUUUCUAUCUUUAGAAAAAAAGAAUAUUUUAGUACGAAAGGAUCAAAUAUUUAAAAUAAUUUUAAUAAAAGAAUAUUAUUAAUUAAAUUAUAAAAUUA
This 1337-nucleotide ribosomal RNA is filed under the name Lethe hayashii. Its description in RNAcentral is "16S ribosomal RNA". Lineage: Eukaryota; Metazoa; Arthropoda; Insecta; Lepidoptera; Nymphalidae. The record is from RNAcentral.